Molecule: ribosomal RNA, 460 nt
Filed under: uncultured bacterium
Lineage: Bacteria
Description: partial 16S ribosomal RNA
Rfam family: Bacterial small subunit ribosomal RNA
Source: RNAcentral
CCUACGGGUGGCAGCAGUGAGGAAUAUUGGUCAAUGGGCGAGAGCCUGAACCAGCCAAGUCGCGUGAAGGAUGACGGCCCUACGGGUUGUAAACUUCUUUUGUCAGGGAGCAAUUGAGUCCACGUGUGGUCUUAGCGAGAGUACCUGAAGAAAAAGCAUCGGCUAACUCCGUGCCAGCAGCCGCGGUAAUACGGAGGAUGCGAGCGUUAUCCGGAUUUAUUGGGUUUAAAGGGUGCGUAGGCGGAAUAUCAAGUCAGCGGUAAAAAUUCGGGGCUCAACCCCGUCGUGCCGUUGAAACUGGUGUUCUUGAGUGGGCGAGAGGAAGGCGGAAUGCGUGGUGUAGCGGUGAAAUGCAUAGAUAUCACGCAGAACCCCGAUUGCGAAGGCAGCCGUCCGGCGCCCUACUGACGCUGAGGCACGAAAGUGCGGGGAGCGAACAGGAUUAGAUACCCGAGUAGUC